Molecule: long non-coding RNA, 26093 nt
Filed under: Solanum tuberosum (potato)
Lineage: Eukaryota; Viridiplantae; Streptophyta; Magnoliopsida; Solanales; Solanaceae
Description: long non-coding RNA (STUB_LNC008047)
Source: RNAcentral
GUGUCUGUUUACUUAUAUAGUAGAUGAUUUAGUGUGUAGAGUUUUAGCUUAUACACAGAGGAUUAAAUCAUCGGUUCUUAUAAGUAUAAAGUUUUUUGUUCACAAUCUAGGAUGGAAAUUGGACAUGCCAUCGGUACGAUUGUAGCACAAGAUUAUAUGUAAUUUAUCUUGAUUAUGGGAACGGUAUAGUUCCAACUUCUUGUGCUAGUGCAUUUUGUAUGUAUUGAACGGGACCGAGUAGAGAUAGUUGUUUUAGCAUAAUCUUGCAUCCCAAAUGACCCUGUCUAUUCCCUUGAGUCUUGACAACAACACAAGUCUAAAAAUUUGACAAUUUAAUUUUGAAUAAUGAUUGAUUUGAUGUGAAUUGUGAUCGUAUUGUUGUAUUAUUUUUUUAUAGUGUUAAAAAUAUUUCUCUAUUUAACUAACUAAAUAUAGAUAUAUUUCGAUCUGCUAUAUGACAUAGCAAGUAGUCUCGUAGGAGAAUGAGAUUGUUAAUAAAAAGCUCUCAAUCAGCCACAUAAAUAACAUAACAAGUGGUCUCAAACUGAACAUAGGGUUCUAAAUAAAAAAUCUAGAGUGAACUUAGCGAGAAUUUAGUGGUGUAUUCCACUCAUAUUACAAGAUCGGUUAAAUUUAAUUAAUCAAAUAAAUGAGUGUUUUUAAUAUUGUCCAUAGUUCAUGGAUAAAAGUAAUAAUUCACACAUAGUUUAAGAGGUUUUCAAUACUUCUAUCAUUAUUUAAUUAUUAUUUUUUUAUCUUACCUUUUAUAUAAUAGUUUUAUGCCUCCUCUACAACUCUACUUUUUUUUUGUUGAUUUAAUCCUUUAAAUUAUUAUGAUACGUGACAUUAUAUAUGUUGGGAUAUAUACUAUUAACCAUAUGCUAAGAUAUAAUAUUUAUUAUAGAAUAAAUAUUUGCUCAGUUUUAAUAGAUCAUAUAUUCGUUUAUGGUGUUUGUUUACUUAUAUAGUAGAUGAUUUAGUGUGUAGAGUUUUAGCUUAUACACAGAGGAUAAAAUCAUCGGUUCUUAUAACUAUAAAGUUGUUUGUUCACAAUCUAGGAUGAAAAUUGGACAUGACAUCGGUACAAUUGUAGCACAAGAUUAUAUGUAAUUUAUCUUGAUUAUGGAAACGGUAUAGUUCCAACUUCUUGUGCUAGUUCAUUUUGUAUGUAUUGAACGGGACCGAGUAGAGAUAGUUGUUUUAGACUGGCUGACAAAAAGAUAUUCUCUAAACUAUUAAAUGUACUUAUAUUCUUAAUCCUGAUAUAAUUAUUAUGAUCUGUAUAUAUUAAUUAUCGUUUUGAUUUAUUAAAGGUGAGAUUCUAAGAUGGGUCAAUAUGCCUGGUAAAUUGGAUGAUAAUAAUAUAUAUUGGUGAAAUAAUAAGUUAGUUGAUGGAAUUCAUGUCUCGUUAUAGAGAUUGAUUGAUAUGCCAUUUUAAAAAACUUAUAAGUUUUCAUCGUGUCAAACCUUGCAAGUAGAUUUAUGAAUCCGACACAUGAAAUAAAUUAAACAGUGCUCUAAAUGAAAUUAAUCAUUAAGUUAAAUUCGUCAGUAAUUUAAUUUUUUGAUUAGUAUCUGUAAUCUUAACAUGGGAAAUUACAUAAGUGUUUAAUGUGGAAUUUCGAAAUAUAAAUAGAGAACUGCAAUUACGAAUUUCUAGUGGAAUGAUUUGUAAUUUAUUAUGGUAAGAAUAAUUCAAAUUAAUUAUUUGGAAUUAUUUCCAUAAUAGGAAGUCCCAGUAAUUAAUUUUGUGGUCCGUACAGUGCCCAUAUUUAACUAGAACUCAGAAUCCUAUUUCUAAAGGGAAAAGAGGAGACAUGCGCUAGUUUUCUUAUAAAAAGAAAACUACCGUGUAUUUUUCUGUUGAAGAAAGAUAACAUGUGUUUGGUUCUCCUCUUCGGAUUGGGAAAGAAUCUCUAUAAGUAGGAAUUCUUCUAACCUAGAAAAAGAUUGAAGUUUUCUAUUCGAUAAUUUCCCACCCAAUUAUUGAGAGAGUUCGGAUGUGAACUUGGGAUCACGGUAGAAGAUCAUAAUAGCUAUUGUCUAUUUGUGGAUUCGUUUGAAGAUCAAUCUAAUUUGGGGAUUCGCUUGAAGGAAUCUGCUCACGCUUCAAGAGGUAAUUCUUGAAUUAAAUUUCAGUAAGUUUAUGUGUUCUAGCAUAAACGAUUUGGUUAUCUAUUAUUCAUGUAAGCAGUAAUGAUUCUAAUAUGCUUCCGUUGUACAUAUAAUUUUCCAAUAGAUAUAACCUAGGUUGGUUCAGUUUAGACCAAUUGGAAAAAUGAGGCAUUAAUCUACCUAAUGCAGGGUUUUCAACAAAAUGUUAUUUGCCUCUUUUACCCUUCAAAUAUGGAUUUCACACUAGACAUAAUAGUCAUUUUCUUUUUUUCCUUAUAUGUAGAACUAUGAAAUAAACUAAAUCUUUGUAUACUAAAUACUUCCUUAUUUGAAAUAUAUAAGAAAUAUUACCAUUAUAUAGUAUCAAUUACAUUAUUUAAAUCAUUUUCAACUUGAUAGCAUAUAGUGUAAAAUAUAAUUAUACUACCUUAAAUGUUAAUUGUAAUAUUGAGAACCUUUAAAUCAACAAAAUAAUCUAUUUAUUAGGUUUUAUCCUUAUUUGAUAAUACUAAAGUUUUGCCUAUAGAUAUAUAAAUUAUACGUAUAUACUUUUAGUCUUUGAAUAAGACUCUAAUUUGAACUUUGACAGAACCACAUAGUUUUGAUGACAACAAAAGGUCCAAAGAUAUCUAACUAGACCCCUAAUAGAUCAACCAAAAGACUACAACUUUAGGAUUACAAUUUGAACCUCUCAGAAGCGACUUUGUAAAGAGUUAUGGAGUUAAUGGAAGAAGUUAUCGCAACGAAAAAGUAAUGGAGUAAACAACUUGAUUUAAAUGUCAUGACUAGGAAGUCUACUGGAAUCAAGAUGGAUGAGAAGCACAUACUUUAUUUUAUUCCAUAAUGUGCAUCUAGUUAAUCAAAGAUGAAAAAAUUAUAUUUGAUUGAAUGGAAGACUCCAACGUCCAUUUGUAAGAAACUAAUUUUAUCCUAGAUAAAGAAGAGGAAUCAAAUGUUCACGUGGGUGACAUUUUCAGAAUUAUGUGGAGUUUUUACUUUGUGGUUUGUUUCUUUUAUAAAUUAGCAUGUUCUAUCAUUAAUAUUUUAUUUUUCCUACUCAAUUAUAAAUCAAGUCGACAUAUAAUCGAGUUUCAUUGUAAAGACUCAAAAAUCGAUCAUGAGAGCUGCUACCAUAAACCCUAGUAGGCAAGACAAACCCAAGAUAACAUAUGCUAAAUAAAACUAGAAAUAACUGAAGUAGAAAGAAUAAUUAGAUAAGAAAGGGGCCUUAGCGUAGACAUAUACAAACAAUAUAAAAAUAAAAGAUGGGCCCAAAAUAGACUGAGAAAGAUGAAUAUACACAAGCACCAUACCACAGACCAGGUUUUACAGGUACAAGAUCAUGUAAACUACAAGGAUAAGACUAUACAAAAUAUAAUUUUCUAACAAAAUACAAAAUAUAGACAAAAAAUACAAAAGGAAAAGAAGCAAACAUCUAGAUGCCAAUAGCUCACUACAAAGAAGAACAACGGGGCCUUGAAUGAGAGAAGAUCAACAAGGAUGACUUGUACUAGGCAUUGCGUUAGAAAAAGAUGUAGAAGUGUAAUAUGAGUACCAAAAUAUGAGGUACUAUGUAGGCAUCAUGGACGACCGAGACUCGUAGACAUUAUAUAAUAUAAGAAGCAUGAUAGUAAUAACAAUAAAAUCCAAAACUAUACUAGAAGAUUGAACUCACAAAAAAAUAGGGAACAUAAUAAUCGUAAAAAAAAUCAUGCUUCAUGUACUCAUAUCACAUAAUGUCAGGCAUUAUGGGAUGGUUCAACGCAUAUGUGGCUAAUGGAAAAAAGUAAAAAGUCUCGAAAUCUCCUUGAUGGCUGCCUGUAGGCUCCUAAUGAUCCGCUUGGCAAUUUGGAAUGAUCCCUCAGUCACAUAAUAGAAAAGAAAAACUUGAAAGGUUCCCUAGCAAUCCGAAAUGUUCCAUGGACUCAUAAAAAACUAUAAAAAAAAAUGUAAGAGUAUUGGUAGAGUCAGCGCAAACCAUAUGUAAAAGUAUCAUAUCUUUUAGAAUCAUAAAAACCUAGUGAAUUUAAGGGUAAAUCUCCUUAAAACCUGAAGAUCUCAUGAAACUAGUAUAUCUUUCAUAAAACCAUGUUUCAAAAAUAAUGUUUGUGAUAGGCCCCCUCAGAGCUUAAAUCUAGUAAAAAUAGAGACAUAUUAGUCUUACAAGAAUAAAGUUAAUAUUUCUUGCCUCCAACUCAUGUUAUGUGAUGAGUGGUAGAUUUACACUUAUUUGAGGCCUAUUCAGGUCAAUAAAUAGUAUCCUCAAUGCCUAAUUAUGUCCUAUUUUACUGAUGUUUUGAUUAUUUGCAGCUAUGAAGGUUAAAGAACAAUGCAAGGAUGAAUGUUUGAAAGGAUGACCAAAAAUAUAAAAAGAAGUGUAAACUCCACAUUGUUGAUCAACUAGAAUGAAGGGCGGAUCGCCCAAUGGGUAUGACCUCGCCUAAAUAGACAGUGCAUAACACUUGAAUUAAUUGGGAAAGGACAGAGAAUAAAAAGGGGAGUCUCGACUCGCCAAAUAAGAAAGGAGAAAAUGAUGACCAUCGCCGAAAGGAACAAUACAGGAAGAAAAAUUGAAGGCGAAGAAAGGUGGUACUCGGUGAUACACCAAAUGUGAAAGGCAAGCUUGAACGAGCUCGCCAAUUGAGGUUCAAACACCUGAAGCAAGAGAAAGGUGAUCUGGAGAGCAAUUGGCAAUUCACCUAAUAUGAUAGGUGUGCCCAACUAACGUUUCCAUGGAUCACACAUUGAGUUUUGGGCCAAAUUUUAGGGAAAUUAUAAAUAGUCCAAAGAAGAGAGAAAUUAAGAGUUCAGAAAUUCUGAGUUCUGAAAAAUAGUAGAGAAUUCUUAAUCUAUUCUUAGAGAGAGAAACACUUUACUUUGUGAAGAACACUUUUAGUUUUUGGGGCUUUUCCAACUUCUCUCUUAAAAUUGAUAAAUUGAAGUUUAAUUCAUAGUGGGUUUGGUUGUAAUUGCGUAACUCCAUGUUACGCAUGGCUUCAUUCAUAAAAGAUAAAAUUUGUUUACUCUUUUUAAUGGGUGGCUAAAAUCCCAAGAUCUAGGAGUGCAAUUAUGUGGUUGGGUGUUGAUUUAAUGUAGUGUGCAUUAUGUUAUGCUCUAUUUUUCCUUUUUUCAUACAUGGAUUUAGUCUAAUUAGCAUUGAGUUAACUUAUGGGUUAGGUUGGAAACUUAAUUUCUAUUUCCGAUCUCCGAUUGAUGCUCAAAAGAGAUUGAUUGGAGAGGGUAAUUAGUUUCAUACUUGCAAUUUAGGGUUGAUGUAUGUAACUUGUUUUAAAAUAGAGGUUAUGGGUCAGAUCUAUUUGCGCUAUUGUUGAAUCGAAAGAGAGAAUUUUGUAAGGUAUUGUGUUGUUUAAUAUAGCACAUAGAAGAGACCGAAAGGAGAUUCUAUGAAAUGAUCCUAUGAGAUCAAAAGAAGAUUAGUGUCAUUGACGAUGACGUAGCUUAUCAAUAAUUUUCAUUACUAUAGAGCAACACAAUUACCCCGAUGUGACAUCAAUUUCCAAUCCCCAAACCCCUAGAUUAGUUGUUACCUAUUUGAAUUUCUGAAAUCUUAGCUUAAUUGUGACUUUUGAUAACAAAUCUUUUUUAUUAAAUUUUGUUGAAUCAUCCGCCCACUUGUUUUAAUGUUGCAAAUCAAUGAAUUUAUAGUCCAAUUUUUUGAUAGAAUUCUUUGCCUUGUAUCAUUCUCUGUGGGAUUCGACUCCGUCUCUUAGUUGAGUAUAUAGUUACAAUGACCACUUACUUCUUAAUUAGUUUUAAAGAGUACUUUGAGUGUUAGAAAAAAUGGCGUCGUUACCUGGGAAUGAUGGCUAGAGGUUCCAUUUGAGAAAUAAGUUUGUAAAUUUGUUUAGUUGUAGUAGAUUGUUGUUUCGUGUGUGAUAUGAUGAUUUUCUGUUUAGAAAAUGAGUGACCACGAAAGUGACAAUGGGAAAAAUGACAACAUGAGUAAUUUUAAUAAUAUGCAUGUGAACAUCAUUCAACCCACGCGAGCCAUCCGGAUACCUCCCAUAGGCGGGAGGGCAGUUUUUCAUGUAAAGGGAACAAUACUACAAUUACUCCAAUUAUGAGGAAUAUUUGGGGGUUUAGCUCGUGAGGAUCCCCAUGAACACCUUUGAAAUUUUGUGGAGGUAGGUGGGCCAUUUGUGUUCUAAUACAUCUCACAAGAUUCCGUAAGGUUGAGGUUAUUCCCAUUCUCUUUGACGGGUGAAGCUAAAAGAUGGUAGGCGGAAUUGCCAAAUGACUCUAUCACUUCUUGGGAGGAGUUGAAUGAAGCUUUAUUGGAGAUAUCCCCCCCUCGAAGAUAGCUAAACUUCAAACCCAAAUCCAAAAUUUCAAAAGAAUUGUAGGUGAACCUGUACAUGAGACUUGGUUACAGUUCAAAAAAUUACUCUUGCAAUGUACAACACAUGGUGUGCCGAACAAUUUGCUACUGCAAUACUUCUAUUGCAACCUUGAUUUAGUCAAUAUAGAUGUGGCUGAUCAGUUGGUCGAAGGGGGAUUUAUGCGUCAAUCGUAUAAAAUAGCAAUGUUGUUGCUAGAUGACAUGAAAAAGUUUAACCGAGGAUGACAUACUGGAAAAGACCAAGUGUCUACUCUAUAACUGAGAAAAUAACAAAUAGAAAAGAAAAAUGAACAAGAUGAAAACAUGGGUAAAAUGAUGACCCAACACCAUUUUUCGUCUAAACAUGUCAUAGGAGGAGGAAUUAAAUUGGUAAAUGCGAUUGUAACAAACAUUGGGCAGUACCCAAAUGAUGUCAAGUUUGAGGCAGUACACAAUGAAGAAGAUAAAUACUUAGGAAACAAAAUAGGGGGUUCUCACCCAAAUUAUUAACAACAAGGUGGGAAUGAAGUUUAGAAUAAGAAGUGAGAUAACGAUUGGAAAGAUUGGAGAGAUAGGGAGGAUGGCAAGGAUAGGUAUGUCACUUCCAAUGAUCGUCUACAGCCCAAAGAAACAACUAGUCUAGAAGGAAACCGAACUGAGGAAAUGCUCACAAGGAUCGUCAACAAGGUUGAAGGAUCAGGAUAAAGUGACCAUCGCUGAAGGUGAUAGAACUUGGACAAAAAUUGAAGGUUAGAAAGGUGAACAAAGGCGCCACUCGCUAAUAUGCCGAAUAUAUAAUCGAGACUCAAACGAGCUCGCCUACUCAUGUUUAAACACCUUAAACCUAAAGCAAGAGAAAGGUGAGCUGAAGAUCAGUUGGUGGUUCACAUAAUAUGAUUGGUGAACCCAACUAACUUAGCCCGAUAAGUCACACAUUGAGUUUUGGGCUAGAUGUUGGGGAAAUUAUAAAUAGCCCAAAGAAGAGGAAAAAAGUUUGUUUUUGGAGAAGUAAAAUUUUCCAGAAGUGAGAAAGUUGUUAGAGAGAGAAAUACUUUCAUUCUGUGAAGAGCACUUUUGUAGUUUUUAAACUUUGCUCUUGAAAUUUAAAACUUGAAGUUGAAAUCUAAGCGGGUAUUUCUUGUAGUUGCUUAAUGUCAUGUUACCCAUGAUUGGUUUCAUCCAAGGUAUAAUUUCUUUACACUUUGUGAUGGGUAGCUAAAACCACAAAGUCUAGGUGUGCAAUUAUGGGGUUGGGUGUUGAUUUAAUGUAGUGGUAUUAUGUUAUGCUCUUUUUUUGUUGUUGUUCAUACAUGGAUUUUGGCUAAUUGGAAUGGGGUUAAUUUAUGGGUUAAGGUUGCAAACAUAAUUCCUAAUUCUGAUCUCCGAUUGAUGUUUAAAAGAGAUUGAUUGGAAUGAGUAAUUAGUUCGAUACAUGCAACUUAGGUUUGAUGUUUGUAAUAUUCCUGAAUAUAGAGAUUAUGGGUCAGAUCUAUUUUCCCUAUUUAUGCAUCGAAAGAGAUACUAUCUUAAGGUAUUUGGUUCAUUAGCAUAUAGUAGACCGGAAAGAGAUUCUAUGAACUGAUACUAUAAGAUCGAAUGAAGAUUAGUGUCAUUGAAGAUGACCAAACCUAUCGAUGAAUGUUCAUCACUAUAUAUCAACGCAAUUACCCCUACGUGAUAUCGAUAUCCAAUCUCCCACCCCUAGAUUACUUGUUACUUAUUUGAAAUUUUAGUUUAAUUGAGACCAUUGAAAGCCAUAAACUUUUAGUAAAUUUUGUGGAAUCAUCAAUCCACUUGUUCUCAAUACUACAAAUAAAUGAAUUUAAAUUACAAAUUUCUUGAUAAAAUUAUUCGCGCUAUAUCAUUUUCUUUGGAAUUCAACUCCGACUAUUAGUUUUGUAUUUUUAUUGAUGAAGACCCCUUACUCUUUGGAUUGGUUUAAGAGAGUAGUUUGAGCAUUAUAAAAUAUGGCACCGCUGCAGGGGAAUGACGGUUAAGAAUUUCAUUUGAGAAAUUAGUUUAUAAAUUUGCUUAGUUGUAGUGAAAUUGUUACUUGGUGUUGCUGGUUAAUGAUUUGCAAGCUUACAAAUAUGAGUAACCAAGUUAGUUACAACGAUAGUCAAUACUGUCAAAUUGAAAAUAUGGGUGAUUUGAAUGACAUGCACAUGAACGUCAUUCAAACCACGGAAGGCAUCUGGUUACCUCUCAGAACUAGUAGGACAAUUUUCAUGUAACCGGAACAAUGCUACAGUUUAUCCAACUAAUAGGAGUGCUUGGGGGUGUAACACUCUGUAUGCUAAAACAACCAAAAUCAGAUUUUUUUCCAGAAGUUGAAUGUGCAACCUACGAUUGCCACCCACGGACCGUAGGGCGACCCACGGUCUGUUCUGGUCGUUCGUUGUUCACCACAUGCAACCCCCUCCCAGAACCCAUCCUCUGAAGUUGAUCGAUGGAUUUAUAGGACGGAUCGUGGAUCAGUCCACGGACCGUCAAGCAGUCCAUAGGUCGAGACCCUCAGGACCUCCCAAAACCCAUUCUCUGAAGUUGAUCGACGGAUUGACAGGACGGAUAGUGAUUCAGUCCACAGACCGUUGACCAGUGCGUAGGUCGAGACCCUCAGGACCCCCCAGAACCCAUCCUCUGAAAUUGAUCGACGGACUGACAGGACGGAUCAUGGAUCCAUCCAUGGACCGUCGAUUAGUCUCGUCGGUGGCUUCAACAGAUUUUAAGUCAGAAGUCGUUUGGUCUUUUCCACAUGCGUUGGACCCCUCAACUACGUCGUUUAACCCCUAAACUACGUAGUUUUGUGUAAUCACUCGCAAAUUGAAAUAACUAGGAAGGAGUUAAUAAUUGGAAAUAGUAGUUUACGGAAAUAAUGAAAAUCUCGAAAUUUUGAUAAGAUAAAAUAAGUUGAGUUUUGGUCCACUUCAAACGGCAAUAACUACCAUCUCAGGAUGAGUUAGGUGUACUUCCAGAUAUGGUAGGACAACUCUUGGAAUAAUCUUUCCAACGCCGCUAAAUUUGCACGAUUUCGAGUUCGUAUGACUAGUGACCCCAAGCUAACCUUACUGGCAUAUCAUAAGCAUACUAAAGUAAACAUAGGUAAAGAAAUAUUGUGCGAAGCUAAACCAUCAUGUGAACUAAAAUGAUGGGGAAUACCCAUAAACUAUCUAAAUAUAUAAAAACUGAGAUUUAACAACAACUGAAAGGUCAAACACAAAUGCUAAAGCUAAAUCUAACUAUGUUUGAAAAUAGCCUCUAACUAACUUGAAGUGUUGCGACAUGCCACAACUAAAUCUAGCGAAAGCUAAAACUAAAACUAAAAGUAAAGGAAACAUAUUUGUCAUCCUCAGAGAAUGAGGACUCACCACUUAUACUGCUGAGCUGAUGAUUGGGAACUGAUAUAUGCGUGAUUUGGAAGCUGAGGACCGGAGCCUAUAUCACGAAAAAAUGUAGCGUAGAGUAUGCAUCAAUACUUGAAAGGUACUGAGCAUGCAGGAUAGGAUAAAGCUGAACAAUAACCAUAACUGAACCAAAGCAUAUCUUAGAAAUGGUAAGAGAUAAGCAUGAUACUAUAUUGAGAAUACUGAACAUGAACUAACUAGAUACAAUGACCAAGUUUAUAACAUGCUGAGACUGAAAUCUGACUAUAACUGAUAACAUGGUCAAUGCAAUAGAAUCUGAUUGUAAGGGAGCUACUAAUAACCCAAAUAAAACUACAUGAGCUAAAUGUGGAGUCUGAUGUAUACGCCAUUUGAGAGGACCUAAUAUACCCGUGCCAGAGUUAUAGAGGCAUGACUGACAUGAUCAUUAAAAUGUAAUGCCCAAUAGAGGGGACUUAACCUAUGGGGCACAUGGUUCUAGGACUUGAGGGUGACUGACCCUAGUCCACUCGGUAUUAAGCUACUCCCAAUUGAUUAUGUAAUUAACAAUUUAUGACUAAAAUGUUGUAAUACUGGAUAGCUCAAAAAUAUUGACAUACUAAUUGAAAAUGCAACAUUAAUGUACUAAUAAUGAAAUAUUCAAAUCUGAGGCAUGUAUAUCUUACAUAACUAGCCUAGCAGGUGUAAUUCAUGAACUAAAAGAACUACAUAGCUAGGGGUCUGAAUUUAUGAAAACUCUACACAAAACGAUACUAAAAUCAUGAUAAUCUGAUUUGGAUCAUUCUAACAGCUAAAGCCCAAUAUUUUUUAACAUUCAAGAAACCUUAGGUCUACAUGAUAUUAAGGGAAUCAAGAUUAUGACUGAAAUCUAGGGACCUAAUGGGUGAAAGGAACCCACUAGUGAAAUCCCACAUACCUGGUGACGAAAUUCAUGGAGAAAUCUUUCGAUUUCGGUGCUGGAACUGAUGAAAACUCGCUGCGUUCUUGAACUAGGGCUUCAUCGACUUUCUCCUAUGUUUUUCUCUAACUUUGAUCUAUUUUUGGUGAAGAAUUGAUUAGGAUAAGUUCUAAUUAGUUUACUAGGCUAAAAGUGACAAAAAUGACGUAGUUUAGGGGUUAAACGAUGUAGUUUAAGGGUCCAACGCAUAAGGAAAAGACCAAACGACCCCUGACUUAAAAUCUGCCGAAGCAGCCAAUGGGACGAAUCGACGAUUCGUGGAUGGAUCCACGAUCCUCUCGGUCCGUCGAUCGACUUCAGAUGAUGGGUUCUCGGGGUUCCUGAGGGUCUCGACCUAGAACGGACCAAGGGUUGCCCUACGAUCCGUGGGUGGCAAUCGUGGGUUGCACCUACAACUUCUAGAAAAGAAAUCUGCAUUUUGGUAGUUUUAGCAUCCGGGGUGUUACAUUAACUCCCCCUGGGAACAUUUGUCCUCGAAUGAAGACUAAAUUAGCUGGAGAUGGAGGGAAAGAGCUGCAAACCCUGUCACUAAACACUGGAACUUGAUUUAUGACUAAACUAUGUUCCAAGAACAUACAAAUACACUGAAAAUGCAAAUAUAAAUUGAAGGAACAUGAUACUAAGAUUGAAUCUGCUCAUGAAUGACUGAAAAAGUGAAGAGAAACUAUUACCUCAAGCAUGAAUGGAAUUCGAAGGAAAGAGAUGAGGAUACUUGGCCUUCGUGGCUGCUUCUGCUUCCCAAGUAGCUCCCUCUACGGACUGACACCUCCACAAAACCUUGACUGAAGCGACUUCAUUGUUUCUCAACCUAUUAACCUGACGAUCAAGGAUUUAAACUGGUACCUCUUCAUAAGUGAGACUAUCCUUCACAGCCGCACUUUCUAACGGUACUAUAGAUGGUCGAUCACCCACACACUUCUUCAACAACGAAACGUAAAAAACCGAUUACACUACUCCUAGUUCUUUUGGCAACUCUAACUAAUAAGCCACUGUACCAACUCUUUUAAAGAUUUUGUAAGGCCCUACAUAUCUAGGACUGAGCUUCCCUUUCUUCCCAAAUCUCAUCACCCCUUUCAUAGGUGACACUUUCAGGAAAACCCAAUCAUCAACUUGGUAAUCUAAUUCCAUUCUUCUUACAUUUGCAUAAGACUUCUGGCGACUAUGGGAUGUCAUAAGUCUAUAUCUAAUGAGUUGCACUUUCUCCAUAGCAUCAUGAACUGAAUCUAGCCCUAUCAAGGCUUAUUCACCUACUUCAAACCAACCAACUGGAGAUCUACAUCUACGCCUAUACACUACCUCAUAAGGGGCAUCUGAAUGUUCGAAUGGUAGUUAUUAUUGUAGGUGAACUCUAUAAGAGGAAGGUGAUCAUCCCAACUACCCUUGAAAUCGAUCACACAAACUCUCAACAUGUCCUCUAUGGUUUGAAUGGUAUGCUCUGCCUGACCAUCCGUCUAUGGAUGAAAUGUUGUGCUAAGAUUAACCUGAGUACCAAGACCCUUCUGAAAUGACUUCCAGAAAUAAGAGGUAAAUUGAGGACCUCUAUCUGAGAUGAAAGACAAAGGAAACCCAUGCAACCUAACUAUCUCAUUAAUGUAAAGCUUGGCAUAGUCCUCUGCCGAAUAUGUAGUCUUAACAACCAAAAUGUGUGUAGACUUAGUAACUCUAUCAACUAUCACCCAAAUGGAGUCAUAUUGUCUUCUAGUUCGAGGUAAACCUGUAAUGAAGUCCAUGUUGAUCACUUCCCACUUCCAAGUAUGAAUAUUGAUCUCUUGAGUCAUACCUCUUGGUUUCUGAUGUUCUACCUUCACUUGAUGGCAAUUAGGGCACUUAUCCACAAAAUCCGCUAUAUCCCUUGUCAUACCGUUCCACCAAAAGAAUUCCCGCAGAUCACGGUACAUUUUAGUGGCUCUUGGAUGAAUAGAAUAUCUGGAAUUAUGGGCUUCUGCAAGAAUCUGCUAUCUCAACUCACCCACCUUAGGAACACAUAAUUGACCCUGAUAGCGAAGCACACCAUCUCCAACGGGAAAAAAUGUCAACUCUUUAUUAAUGGACUGUACCCUUUAGUUGAAGCAAUAUUAGAUCAUUGUCUUGUUUUUCCUUAACCUCUGCUACCAAUAAAGAUUAUGACCCAUUCUAAACUAUUACACCACCAUCUAAUAUGCUCAUAAGAUGAACUCCUAAGUGAACAAGUCCGUGAAAAUCCUUUGCUAGUUUAUUUCUUUCUUCCUCAACAUGUUAUACACUACCCAUAGAUAGUCUACUAAGAGCAAUUGCUACUACAUUGGCCCUACCAGGAUGGUAAUGCACACUACUAUCAUAAUCCUUGAGGAAUUCAAGUCAUCUCCUCUGGAGAAUAUUCAAAUCUUCCUGGGUGAACACAUACUGAAGGAUCUUAUGGUCUGUGAACACAUCUACGUAAACACCAUACAAGUAAUGUCUCCAAAUUUUAAGUUAAAACACCACUGCUGCAAGCUCAAGGUCCUGAGUUGGAUAGUUCUUCUCAUGCACAUUAAGUUGCCUUGAAGCAUAAGAUAUAACCUUACCUCGCUGCAUCAACACACAACCUAGGCGGACUUUGGAUUCAUUACAAUAGAUAACAUUACCGUUUGAACCCUUUGGUAGAGUAAAAACAGGAGUUGUAGUCAACCUAGUUUUCAGUUUUGUGAAGCUCUUCUCACAAUCAUCUGACCACUUAAACUUAACCUUUUUCUGAGUCAACUUAGUCAAUGGAGAGGCUAUGGAUGAAAAUCCUUCCAGGAACCUUCUGUAAUAACCGGCUAAACCAUAGAAGUGUCUGAUAUCUGUAGUAGAGGUAGGUCUGGGCCAUUGUUUCACUGCUUCUAUUUUCUGAGAAUCCACUCGGAUCCCUUCGUUGGACACAAUAUGACCAAGAAAAGCAAUGGAUUGCAACUAAAACUCACAUUUGCUAAACUUAAUGAAUAAAUGGCGAUCUUUGAGAGUUUGCAGGACAACCCUCAAUUGAUUCACAUGUUCUUCCUCAUUCCUAGAGUAAAUGAGGAUAUCAUCAAUAAAGACGAUAAUGAACAAGUCCAAAUACUGCUUGAACACUCUUUUCAUCAAGUCUAUGAAAGUUGCAGGAGCAUUGGUUAGUCCAAAUGACAUAACUACAAAUUCAUAAUAACCAUACCUAGUUUUGAAUGCUAUUUUUUGGGAUGUCACCAUCUCUGAGUCUAAGCUGAUGAUAACAGGAUCUGAGGUCUAUCUUCGAGAAAUGACUAGCACCUUGAAGUUGGUGAAACAAGUCAUCAAUCCUGGGGAUAGGGUACUUAUUCUUGAUUGUGACUUUGUUCAACUUCCUAUAGUCAAUGCACAUUCUGAGAGAACCAUAUUUCUUUUUCACGAACAACACUGGUGCACCCCAUGGGGAAAUACUAAGUCUGGUGAAGCCGUUAUCUAGAAGGUCUUUCAACUGCUCUUUCAAUUCCUUAAGCUCAACUGGAGCCAUUCUGUAGGGAGGAAUAGAAAUAGGUUGGGUAUCUGGAAGGAGAUCAAUUCCAAAAUCGAUUUCCCUUUAGGAAGGGACUCUGGGAAAAUCUUUUGAAAACACUUCUUAGAACUCAUUUACUGUCGGAACUGACUCAAGAGUUGGGGUUUCAGAGCUCGAGUCCUUAACCCAAACAAGAUGAUAGAUAUACCCCUUGGAAAUCAUCUUUUUUGCCUUAAGGUAAUAAAUGAAUCGACCCAUAGGCGCUAAGCUACAACCCUUUCAUUCUAAGAUUGGUUCGUCUGGAAACUAAAAAAUGAACGAUCCUAGUUCUAAAUCGACUGAGGCAUAAGAAGAAUGUAACCAAUCCAUGCCUUGAAUGAUAUCGAAGUCUACCAUUUCUAACUCUACAAGAUCUGCUGAUGUGACUUUAUGGCAGACUGUGACAAGGCAAUUUAUGUAUACCCGUCUAGCUAUAAUUGGGUCAUCGACUGGAGUAGAGACUGAGAAGGAUUCUGAGAGAGUUUCUAGACUGACACCAAAAUUUACUUCUAUAUAGGGAGUUACAAAAGACAAAGUAGUCCCUAUUGUUUUUCCACUAAAUGAACCAUAUGUGAGCCACAUCCUUAAGCUGGUAGGAAGCCAACUCAACCCUACUAUUAUCAGUCACUUGCAUCACUCCAAAUAUUUUCUUAACCUCAUCAAUGAAGUUCUGUGGGGCCUCACCAACUUGUGACCCUAAAAACUCAAGCAGAUUCAUCCUUACAAAAUCUUUAACCCUAGGUGCCACUGAUCCACCAUUUCUAUUACUCCCUCUGUCCCAAUUUAUGUGACUUACUUUCCUUUUUAGUCAGUUCAUAAAAGAAUGACACAUUUCUAUAAUAAGUAACAAUUUAACUAUAAAAUAUAUAUUUUACCCUUAAUGAAAUGAUUUACAGCCACACAAAUUUCUAUCAUUCAUUUUGAACCAUAGGUUUUAAAAGCUUCCUUUCUUUCUUAAACUUUGUUCUGAGUCAAACUACCUCACAUAAAAUGGGACAGAGGGAGUAGUAGGAAUUAGAACCUACUGACUAUUCUAAUUGGCUACACUCUGAGCCAAAAGUUGGAUCACAUUCUGAAACUCUACAUUCUUAACCUCAUGGUCUGGGAUAGGAGGAAAUGCAUUAGCAUUCCUUGUGUAAGCUCUACGAGGAUGCAUGAUCAGAAAACUCAUAACGACGAGUUAGAAGGUAGAUCAUACCUAUGCACGAUAAGAAUAUCAAGAAAGUGACACUACUAGAAAAAAAGGUUUUACCGACAAUCAUUUAACGGAAUAAAGCCAAUUGCUGCUAAUCAUUUCAUUAAGGUGAAAUAUUAGUGGCAAAUAAAUAUUAGCCAAUAAAGGGUAUCCAUUUAUAGACAAUAAAAACAAUUUGCCACUAAAAAUCAGUAAUUAAAAUAAACAAUUUAUUAAUUUGUCUUCCCUCCUAUUUAUUGGACAAGCUAUUCACUCCUAAUAUUAUAAGAAAAAAUAAAAGAAAACCCUAGUAUUUUCUUCAUCUCAUGAACUCAUUUUGAAGAUGACUAUUGUUGCUGUCAAAUUAAUCACGAUGCUCCAUCUCAAAUUCAAUCUCCGUUCAUCGUUUACCUAGGUAACUUUAUCUUUUAUCCAAAUGGCUAGACCCAUCGAUGAAUUCCAUCCAUUUACAAUUGAUUUUGGGUUGAUGUUGCUCGACUUUGUUCAAUCUUUGUUGUCAGUCGUAUUCCUAUCAUUCUCACUUGCACUUUAUUGUCUUCAUCGGCAAAAAUUCUGCUUCGCUGGAACUAAUUUGUGGUUUUUUUGUCCAACUAUGGCAUUUUGGGAUUUAUAAAAGUAUAAAUUUUAUGUGUUUGCUAAGUCAUUUGUGAUAUCUGGCUGCUGUUAAGUUCAUGGGUUAUUUGUUGAAUUGUUUCUUCUGUCAUUUCCUCUACUUCUUAAUGAAUUGGAUCCUCUAUUUGCUAACUGUUAUUCUUAUGAUUGUUUAAAAAAUUGCUAAUGUUGGUUGAUGCAUAUUGCUGUUUUAAUUGAAUCUAAUACUUCUACAUAUAUGGAUUCAACAAUGUUCUAACUUUUUGCCUGGGUAUUUUUUUAUUCUAUUAUUUGUUGUUGGUUUAGUGUGUUGGUAGACUUGUUGCUGGUUACUUAUGGUUAAUUGGAGCAUUUUAGCGGCUAAAGUUUGAAAAAGAUUUACAACAUCCAGAAUAACAUUGCUGGUUUUAAACGUUUUCCUAUGUCAAUAAAAAAGUUCCUAAGGUAAAAAAAAUGCAUAAAAAUCGAAAUAAAUCCAUAAUCAGAGUACACCGAUAGCACUCUUAAACCAAACAUCAUAACAAUCUGUAUUACUACAUCAUUUACUUAAUUAAGUCCAAAUAAGUCUAAUGCCAAGGUUAUAAAAUAUAAAAAUCUUACACUCUAAAAAUCAGCUGGUAUGAUGACGUAAAAUUCAAUGAUACUUUUAAGUACUAGUUAGAAUUUAAACUCUGAUCUGGUAGAGUCAGAUAUCAAUAGAUAAUUUUGGUACCAAGCUAAUAAAAUAUCAACUUAUUAGAAAAAUAUAUAGAAAGCAUAAACACAUGUAUUAUCAGUAGGUGAUAGUUCAAAGUAGAUGAACUUUUGCAACAUAUUGAUUCAUAACUGUUACUUGUCGUUCAGUUGAAUAAACUGAUUGUUGUCAACUUACUUAUUUUUUCUUAAGAAAAAUGUUGAUCUGGUUAAAAGAGUAAAGAGAGGCUGAUUCUCCCAGGUGCAGAUUGAAUAUAGAUAAAAAUCAUCGCUUCUCCAGAACAGUUUCAUUGAACAUUUUAAUCACAAUAUAUUUGUCUUAGUAUUCUUUCUUAAGAAAAAGUUGGCCUGAGUAAAAUUUAAAGAGUACUUCAUAAAAAAAUAAAAUUAAAGAGCUCGUCAUGCACUGGAAUGUUGCAAUGCUUUUACAAUAAAUAUAGGCACUUAAUUUUUUUUUAGGGGGGGUGGGGAACUUAUUAUUUUGGUUUGAAGUUCAACAAAUAUUUUCUGCAACAUUCAUCAACCUCACCAUCAUUUUGAUCCCUUAGUUUAUCAUUGUAUUUUAUUGAAUCAAUUAGAAAAACUUAUCAUGAAACGUUUUAGAUAAAGCAAGGAAACUAUUGGAGGAGUAUAUAAUGACAAUAUGUAACAUUGAAUAAGAAUUGAAUACCAGAGAAGCAUAGAUGGAUGAGAAUAGAGAAAUCAGAACCCUGAUCUAGUAGUUUCAUAUUCAUUUUAAAAAAAAAUAGUUUACAGGGAAUGAAAACAUAUGCAUCUGAUAACAUAUCAAUAUUAAACUCCAAUCAUCAGGUCCUUUAGCCUUUUCUUUCAUAUUGAAGAAAUUUGUAUCACUACGACAUUAGCAAACCAAUUCUUUGCGUUUAGAUCGAAAAACAUGUUUAGUUAUAGAUUUUCUUAAAAUUAUCACAGAUUUUGGAAGAUAAUUUAGUAGCGGAAAAUUAUAAAAAGGAAGACCUAUAAACAAAACUUACUAUUAAGAACCAAAAAGUUAACAACAAAAUAUCUCAAUUUAUGUUUUCAUUUUUUUUCUAAUUAAAAUUUUAUGAGAUCCUUUAUGGAUACUAAAGAAACAAAAAAGUGAGAAAAAUCAUGUCUUACUAUGGAAAUCUGAAUUGAGUUUGUUCUGGAAAGUUGAAAUGAGUUCUUUUUUAAAUGACUGGGAAGUUUUUGGUGUACUUCAGAAUUUCAAGUUACUAGUCGUGAAAUUAGAAACAAAAAUAUACCAUAUGUAAGGAAUUGUUGGUGUUUCUCAUUAUCAGUUCAAAUGGAAUCUUUUAUGUUAAAUGAAUAUGCAUACACUUCAAAUGUAGGCAUUCAAAAUUGUUGAAUACUUAGAAAGGUCUUGUAUUUUUUGAGGAAAAGAGAACUUGUGAGUUCUUCUCUCACUGUUAAACUACUAAGGGUCAUUUAAAGAGUGACUAGAAUUGCAACUAAUUAGACUAACAAAUAAGGACUAUUAGUGCUUUAUAUCAAAGAAUAAGGAUGAUUUUGAGUGAACUCCUUUGGACAUCCUCUUUCCUUACAAUAAAUAAUUAAACUUCUGGGCAGUCCAUACACUAAAUUUGAUUUCAUUUAUGUUAUUUUUGGGGAUAUGUUAGUGUUAUAUGAUAAUUGUAUGUUAGAGAUUUUUUUUCUCUAAUUCCCUAAAGCAACUAUCAUCUAUAUUGAUUUUACUUUGUCUUGAUGUUCUUUCUAGCUAGCCUUACACAUUACAGUCUUGUUCUCAAGCUUUCAGCCUUAGCACAAAUACUUGGCAAAUAUGUCAUGUUUUCUAAACAGAGGACCAUCAUGGCUAUAGCUCGCUUGAUGUUCCACACUUUUUUUAUAAGAUAAGUGGUAUUAAUAACAACAUAAAGAAUAUGGCAAGAAUUACAAGAUAUGACAUUUGAGUUUACAAAAAAUCUCUAGCUAACUAUAAAAACUAUCUAAGCCAGAACUAGUGAGUUAAUUAAGUCCUGAAGUUGUUCAACGUUAGCCGAAGGAUACACAUACCCCCUAAUACUGCAUUAUAGCUAAGUAGAAAUUUCUCUGUGUGCCAUAUGUAGAAACACAUUUUCCCACAACUACCAGUAUAUAGAAAUGGGAUCCAGGAUAAACUUGUAAAAAGUGUUAUUGUAUUUGGUAUCCCACCACUUUUCUAACGGUAGUGUUACAAGAAAGUUGAUAUGGGAGCUUGUUCUUUUAUUUUACCCAAGCGUAAUAUGUAGAUUGUAGGCUAGAGGUGGGUUGUCUCUGUGUUCAAUCCUACUCCCUCCCUGAACAUGUAUUUUUAGUGUUUUAAUUCAUGAAAAGUGAUUGUUCUUUCAUUCCCUUAUUAAUUGACCCAGUACUCAACCUAGGAUUUCCAAUGUUUUAUAUAACUUUGGUAGUUCAUGUUUUUAUACAUUACAUUUUAUCUUUUGAGUUUUGACACAUUUAUUUUAUUAUUUUAGGUCAUACAAUCUGAUGUUCGAAAAUGUUGCAUGUAAAAUUCAAAAUGCUAAAGGAUUGACGAAAUUAUUUGAAGACAUUAUUCGAUAGGAUUGGUUAUAUUAGUUCAUAUAAUAUAAGUUUAUUUUUCGAAUUGUGAUAAUAAAUAUUUUAGAUUCAUACUUCUUUUUGUUUGUUUAGAUUUGAAGAGAUUCUGUUUUAUGUAUAUUACUAGAAAAAUUACAAAACUAUCACUAGAAGUGCAAAUUAGAUCAUUUUCUCGACAUAUAUAUUAGUAAUAGUGGCAAAAUAGUUGUCACUAAAGCGUGUGACUUUGAGCAUCAAUUUAAUUGAAUAUACCAACCAUAAAAAUGGUGUUUGUUUGGGAGAUGAAGACGUUUUCACAAGGAUAUUGUAUCCUUUAAAAUUGCCACCAAAUAAUUGUCGUUAAAGAUGUGGACUAGUAGCGGCAAUUUAGUUGCAAUUAAAAUGGAUGCUAAAAGGGAAAACUAAAACAUUUUCAGAAGGAAUAUUGUAGCCAUUUUAUUUGCCACAAAACAAUUGUCGUUUAAACUAUUGACUUUUAGCAGCAAUUUAAUGAGAAUGGUCACGAAAGCCUUUAGUGACCCCAGCAUCGCCGACUAAAGAUCAAUGGCCGGUAAAGGAUAUAGCGUCAACUUUAAUUGCCGCGAAAGCUAAUUUUUAUUGCCACUAAAGACCUUUUUUGUAGUAGUGUGAAGUUUUCCUAAAAACAUCGUAGCCUCCCUCUCAUUAGAUGUGGUGCACUUCAUACCCAUGAUAAGGACCCUACUUAGUGUGGCUUUUCAGACAUCCUAGGACACUUACACCUAAUGCGCUGUUACCAAGUUUGUCAGGCCCCGAAGCUACCCUCAAGAUGCAGACACGGAACCUAGGAUCACGAGUGACCCCAAGCUAACCUUGUUGGCAUAUCAUAAGCAUACUAAAGUAAACUGAAAUAAAGAAAUAUUGUGCGGAAGAUAAAUCAUCAUGUAAACUGCAAUGAUGGGGAAUACCCAUAAACUAUCUGAAUAUAUGAAAACUAAGAGUUUAAGAGCAGCUGAAAGGUCAAACUAAAAUGCUAAAUCUGAAUCUAACUAUGUCAGAAAAUAGCCUCUAAUUGACUAGAAGAGCUGGAACAUGCCCUAGCUAUAUCUAGCAAAACCUAAAACUAAAACUAAAAGAAAAGGAAACAUUUAUGUCAUUCUCGAAAAAUGAGGACUCACCACUGAUACUGCUGAGCUGAAGAUCGGGAACCGAUCUAUGCGUGAUCUGGAAGCUGAGGACCUGAACCUACAUCACGAGAAGAUGUAGCGCAGAAUAUGCGUCAGUACUUGAAAGGUACUGAGCAUGGAAAAUAGGAUAAAGCUGAACAAAAACCAUAUUUGAACAAAAGCAUAUAUCUGAUCAAUGUUAAGAGAUAAGCAUGAUACUAUACAAAGAAUACUGAACAUGAACUAACCGGAUUCAAUGACCAAGUUUAUAACAUGUUGAGACUGAAAUAUGACUAUAACUGAUAACAUGGUCCAUGAAAUAGAAUCUGACGGUAAGGGAGCUACUAAUAACUGAUAUAAAACCACAUGAGCUAAAUGUGGAGUCUGAUGUAUACCCCCAUGAGAGGACCCAAUAUACCUUGCCAGAGGUAUAGAGGCAUGACUGGCGUGAUCACAAAAAUGUAAUUCCCAACAGAGGGGACUUAACCUACGGGGAACGUAGUUUUAGGACUUGAGGGUGACUGACCCUAGUCCACUCGGUAUUAAGCUACUCCCAGUUGAUUAUAUAAUUAACAAUUUAUGACUUGAAUUCUCUAGUAGUGGAUAGCUCAAAAAUACUGACAUACUAACUAAAAAUGCAACCAUAAUGUACUAAUAAUGAAACAUUAAAAUCUGAGGCAUGUAUAUCUUAAAUAACUGUCUUAGCAGGUGUAAUUCAUGAGCUAAAAGAACUACAUAGGUAGGGUUCUAAAUUUAUGAAAGAAUCUACACAAAACGAUACUAAAAUCAUGAUAAUCUGAUUUGGAUCAUUCUAACCGCUAAAACCCAAUAAUAUGUAACAUUCAAUAAACCUUAGGUCUAGAUGAUAUUAGGGGAAUAAGGAUUCUGACUGAAAUCUAGGGAUCUAAUAGGUGAAAGGAACCCACUAGUGAAAUCCCACUUACCUGGUGAUGAAAUUCACAGAGAAAUCUUUCGAUUUUGGGGCUGGAACUGAUGAAAACUCGAUACGUUCUUGAACUAGGGCUUGGUCGACUUUGUCCUCUGUUUUUCCCUAAGUUUGAUUAAUAUUUGGAUAAUAAUUGAAUAGGGUACAUUAUAAAAUUGACCAAAACCACGUAGUUUAGGGGUUAAACGACGUAGUUUACGGUCCAACGCAUAAGGAAAAGACCAAACGACCCCUGACUUAAAUCUGCUGAAGCCGCCAACGGGACUGAUUGAUGAUCCAUGGAUGGAUCCAUGAUUUGUCCUGUCAGUCCAUCGAUCGACAUCAGAGGAUGUGUUCUGGGGGGUCCUGAGGGUCUCGACCUAUGGACUGAUCCAUGAUCCGUCCUGUCAGUCCAUUGAUAAACUUCAGAGGAUAGUUUCUGGGAUGGGGUUGCAAGUGGUUAACCACGGACCACCAGAACGGACCAUGGGUCACCCUUUGAUCCGUGGGUGGCAACUCAGGGUUGCACCUACAAAUUCGGAAAAAAAAUCUGCAUUUUGGUUGUUUUAGCAUAUGGGGUGUUACACUAAUUCAAAUUAAGUAAUUUCUACUCUUCAAUUGGGAAAACUUGGGGGUCCAUGGGUGCAAGGAUUCCAUGAAUUAAAAGCUAUCAUACCUUGUUAUCAAAGCCCAAAAGAAAUUGAAGAAUAGAGACUUGGCCUUGAACCCUAGCAUGAAUCUUCUUCUUCAAACUUCUAGAGAAAGAAAUAUUUUGGAAGGGAAGAACUUUGGUCUUCUUUUUGAAUUUUAGAAGAAUGACUUGAAUGAACUAAUUUGGGGUUAAAACCCACUUAUAUAGGGGUAUUAGGCAAAACGACGUUUUAUACGGAUAAAAUAAUUAGGAAAAGAUCCAAUUGCCCCUAAAAAUAACUGCCGACCAACCACCUACGGACCCUGAUCGAUGAACCGUGGUCUGGUCGACGGUCAAUCCUGCAAAAUCAUCGAUCACUUCAGAAACAAUGAUUUGGGGCCUGACCUACGGACCCUUAAUCACAUAUUGUGGACUGAAUGACGAUCCAUUGGUCCAGCCAUGGUUCCUGACCUCUGAUCAUUUUGGGUGGCCAAUCGACGGACCACACCUACGGUCCAUGGUCUAGUCCAUGGACCGUGGUUGGCCUCAGUCGCAUGGCACCAGGAAGCUCUGAAAAAUGCUACUUUGCCCCUGCUCGAAUCUGAGGUGCUACUAUGUGACACCCUUAACAUCUUCAAUUUCAAUCACCCUAUUACAAGACACUUUAGUUAACUUGUACGGACCAGUCCACUUUGAUUUUAACUUUCUCGGAAAAAGCUCAAACCUAGAAUUGAAAAGGAGAACGUGCUCACGUUACCAAAUAUCCUUGUGUAGGAUUUUGUCAUCAUUUUACAUUUUCUAUGGAGAGAGAGGACUUCUCAUAUGCCUUUAAGCAAAAUUCAUCCAAUUCAAGUAGUUGGUCUACACGGUUCCUCGAAGCCAUAUCCCAAUCUAUGUUCACCCUCUUCAAUGGCCAUAAGGUUUUGUGCUCCAAUUUAAUAGCAAGUGAAAGGCCUUCCCACACACUAAUUUUUAGGGGAGACAUGCCAAUGGGAGACUUGAAAGUUGUCUGAUAUGCCCUAAGUGCAUCAUUAAUGUGGUCAGACCAAUCGAUGCAAUUUCUAUUAACUAUUUGUCAAAUAUGUUCUCGAUUUCCCUCUUAGAAAUCUCAACUUGUCCACUUGUUUAUGGAUGGUACAGUGUGGAAAACUUAUACUUUACCCCAUACUUGGACAAAAGUGUUUCAAAUUGGUGAUUAUAGAAAUAGGAACCACAAUCACUUAAAAUAUAUCUUGAAGUCCUAAAUCUUGUGAAUGUGCACCUCUUUAGUAACUUAGUGACACUCCUACCGUCGUUGUAAGGUAAAGAAAUGACUUCUAACCAUUUUGAUACAUAAUCAACAAACACUAGGAUGUAUUUGUUAAUGAAAGAGCUAACAAAUCGUCCCAUGAAGUCAAUCCCCCACACAUCAAAAAGUUCAACUUCAAGAAUCAUAUCUUUCACCACAACUUCAUGAAUGAAAUGCAUGAUUAUGUGAUGAGCACACUCCUUAAAGAGAUAGGGUUCAUCCCAGACAUACUUCAUAACAUCAAAUAAGAACUUCUUCUUUUGAUAGUUGUUCAAUCCUUUUAGAAUCAAUCUACACACUAUAAAAUUUUCAUAGUCAGCAUGCCGUGGCAUUGAGGUUUGAAAGAUCCUCAUCAUUGUUCAUCUAGAAAAGUAUCAUCAAUGUUUAGUUCAUUCACCAAAGCAGCACUUUGUUCAGAACUUUAUAGAUGGUCCGCUACCUGAUUUUCACAAUCUUUCCUAUCCUUUACUUCAAAACAAAAAUCAUGAAAAAGAAGUGCCCAACAAAUCAAUCUAGGUUUGGCUUCCUUCUUGGCCAUCAAAUACCGGAGGAUUGCGUGAUCAGUAUGCACUACAACUUUGUUACCCAAAAAUUAUGGUCUAAAUAUUUCAAAACCAUACAUGACGGCUAGCAACUCUUGUUCCAUCGCCGUAUAGUUCUUUUGAGCCCAAUUUAAUGUCUUGCUAGCAUAAUACAUGGGAUGAUAAAAAUUAUUCUUUCGCUGCCAAAGAAUAACACAAAGCUCUACUCCACAUGCAUCACACAUUAUUUCAAAGUGAAGACUCCAAUCGGGUGUAAUUAUGAUUGGAGAUGAUAUAAUAUUUUCUUUUAAGCUCACAAACACCUUCUUACAAUGUGCAUCAAAAUCAAACAUACUUUUCUUUUCCAGAAAUCGGCAAAAUAGAACAACUACAUUAGAGAAAUCCUUUAUGAAUCGAUGGUAGAAUUCAACAUGGCAUAGGAAACUCCUUACACCUUUCACCGAAAUUGAGGAAGGCAACUUGAUAAUAAUAUCGAUCUUAGUUAUGUCAACCUCAAUCCCUUUUCCAAAAAUUGUAUGCCCAAGGACUAUUCAUUACUUCACCAUGAAGUGACACUUUUCCCAAUUAAGGACCAAAAUUGUUUCAACACAUCAUUUCAAUACUUCCCCUAAAUGGUUCAUGCAUUCUUCAAAUGAGUCUCUUACAACAGAGAAAUAAUCCAUAAAACAUUCCAUAGACAACUCCACCAUAUCAGCAAAUAUUGACAAUAUGCACCUUUGGAUAGUGGUCCAUGCAUUGCACAGCCCAAAUGAUAUAUGUUUGAAGGUAAUAUCCCAUAAGAACAAGUAAAUGUGGUUUUUCUUGAUCCUUCGAUGUUAUAGAGAUUUGAAUGUAUCCCAAAUAACCAUCAAAGAAGCAAUACAACUCUUUUCCCACAAGACGAUCAAGUAUUUUUUCAAUAAAGGGCAUAGGUAAAUGGUCUUUCUUGGUCCACGACUUUAAUUUCAAGUAAUCCAUGCACACUUUCAACUGAGUCACUAGCCCAGUAACUAUAAGCUCACAAAUGCCUCUUUUUUUGGGGAUACAUUGAACCGAACAUACCUAUUGGAUGUCUGCAAUAGGAGAGAUCUAGUCUUCCAUUCUUUUUGGGCUUCCAUCAUCAAGGUAUGUGUGUACUCACCCAUGGAGUCCUUUCCUCCAUGGGGUCCCUAAGGUUUCCAAGUUCUACUUUCAAUUUCAAUUGGUUCAAGUUGGGGUUUCAAUCCAAUUUUAUGGGUUUUAUUACAUUGUGAUUGAUUGUUGUUGAAAAAGUCUCCACGUGAAUCAAUGUUAAUGCAUGAUAUUUAGUUGAACUUAUGUUGACCCAUUCUGAAAUAAUGAUUUCCUACUAUAAACCUAUGAUGAACCCAUGAACCUAUGCAUUAUUAAUUUAUGAAGAUAUGCAUGAUUUUAUGAAGUUAUUGUUGAUGAAUUUAUGAUGCUUUGAAGGAAAGUAUUGAUGCUAUUGUAAAAGGAUUUCUCACUUACUAUGAUGGUCAUGAUUGUGAAAGGUAUUUCUCACAAAUGAAUUCACAUUGGUGAAAGGUUUUCUCAUCCAUUUUUAAUUUUGUUUAAGGAGCUAUUCAACGUUUUGAUCUUGAAAGAUGUGGAUUGGUAAGUACCUUUCAUAUAUCAAACUGAUAAUUGACUUUCAUCUAUUUGACUAGAAUUUAGACUUAGCACCGAGAGAACUUGAGGUGGAGGCUCAAAUAGGAUAGUCUUUAGUAGCAACCUCUAGUCUAAAACUAUGUGACCCCAUAGAAUGUCUUAAAUUAAAGUACAUAGCUACUGGAUCCACUUUAGAAAAUGACGAUAUGUACUGAUUCUACCUUGAAAAGUAGAUUCCCCUUCUUUCGGUAUGAGGGAUAUACCAGAUUCCAUGAUAUAGCUACGAUGGUUUUAUUAUCGCUUAAAGCUAAGACCCCACAAAAUGAUUUUGUUUUCUUCAAGUUUUUGUUAUGUCCUUUAUUUCAAAUGCAUUGACUAUAUCCUAUGAUUUUCAUGUUUUACUUCCUCAUGUUUAAAAUGUCCAAAUAUUGAUCAUGUCUACAUGUUUUUAACCAUUUAUACAAUUAUAGUCAUGUGAAUGCAUACUACCUUAUACUUAGUACAUUCAAUGUACAAAUACAUACUUUUACCUACAUUAUCUCAUGUAUGUAGGAUCCGACUUUCCUACCCCGCACACUCAUGUUCUGAGGACCAAGAUACUUUAUAGCUUUAUGUCAUUUUAUUUUAGACUUUGUAUGUGAUGUAUGGGUUACGCCCCGAUUACUUUCCUUAUGAUGUAUUAGAUAGAUUUUAGACU